CCUACGGGAGGCAGCAGUGGGGAAUUUUGCGCAAUGGGCGAAAGCCUGAUGCAGCAACGCCGCGUGAGUGAUGAAGGCCUUCGGGUCGUAAAGCUCUGUCAGAGGGGAAGAACCGCCAUAUGGCUAAUAUCCAUAUGGUCUGACGGUACCCUCAAAGGAAGCACCGGCUAACUCCGUGCCAGCAGCCGCGGUAAU
This 195-nucleotide ribosomal RNA is filed under the name uncultured Geobacter sp. RNAcentral describes it as "partial 16S ribosomal RNA". It matches the Rfam family "Bacterial small subunit ribosomal RNA", at positions 338 to 524 of the family's 1533-position model. The record is from RNAcentral. Lineage: Bacteria; Pseudomonadati; Thermodesulfobacteriota; Desulfuromonadia; Geobacterales; Geobacteraceae.